GGUUAGCACUCUGGACUUUGAAUCCAGCG
This 29-nucleotide non-coding RNA is filed under the name Drosophila melanogaster (fruit fly). RNAcentral also lists the same sequence under 4 other names. Lineage: Eukaryota; Metazoa; Arthropoda; Insecta; Diptera; Drosophilidae. The record is from RNAcentral.